GAUGAACGCUGGCGGCGUGCCUAAUACAUGCAAGUCGAGCGAACAGACGAGGAGCUUGCUCCUCUGACGUUAGCGGCGGACGGGUGAGUAACACGUGGAUAACCUACCUAUAAGACUGGGAUAACUUCGGGAAACCGGAGCUAAUACCGGAUAAUAUAUUGAAUCGCAUGGUUCAAUAGUGAAAGUCGGUUUUGCUGUCACUUAUAGAUGGAUCCGCGCCUCAUUAGCUAGUUGGUAAGGUAACGGCUUACCAAGGCAACGAUGCGUAGCCGACCUGAGAGGGUGAUCGGCCACACGGGAACUGAGACGCGGUCCAGACUCCUACGGGAGGCAGCAGUAGGGAAUCUUCCGCAGUGGGCGAAAGCCUGACGGAACAACGCGGCGUGAGUGAUGAAGGUCUUCGGAUCGUAAAGCACUGUUAUUAGGAAAGAACAAAUGUGUAAGUAACUAUGCACGUCUUGACGGUACCUAAUCAGAAAGCCACGGCUAACUACGUG
This 497-nucleotide ribosomal RNA is filed under the name uncultured bacterium. RNAcentral's name for it is "partial 16S ribosomal RNA". It matches the Rfam family "Bacterial small subunit ribosomal RNA", at positions 28 to 507 of the family's 1533-position model. The record is from RNAcentral.